UUUGCGUCGAAGGUAUACCGGUAAGGAGUGCUGGAGCGAAUAGAAGUGAGCAUGCAGGCAUGAGUAGCGAUAAUUAAUGUGAGAAUCAUUAACGCCGUAAACCCAAGGUUUCCUACGCGAUGCUCGUCAUCGUAGGGUUAGUCGGGUCCUAAGUCGAGUCCGAAAGGGGUAGACGAUGGCAAAUUGGUUAAUAUUCCAAUACCAACAUUAGUGUGCGAUGGAAGGACGCUUAGGGCUAAGCAAGCUAGCGGAUGGAAGUGCUAGUCUAAGGAUGUAGGAGCUUAUACAGGCAAAUCCGUAUAAGAAUACUCCGAGAUCUUAAAGGCUCUUUGAAGUCUUCGGAUGGAUAGGAGAAUUGCUGAUGCCGUCGAGCCAAGAAAAGUUUCUAAGUUUAGCUAAUGUUGCCCGUACCGUAAACCGACACAGGUGGGUGGGAUGAGUAUUCUAAGGCGCGUGGAAGAACUCUCUUUAAGGAACUCUGCAAAAUAGCACCGUAUCUUCGGUAUAAGGUGUGGUUCGCUUCGUAUUAGGAUUUACUCCGAAAGCGAAGAAACUUACAACAAAGAGUCCCUCCCGACUGUUUACCAAAAACACAGCACUCUGCUAACUCGUAAGAGGAUGUAUAGGGUGUGACGCCUGCCCGGUGCUCGAAGGUUAAUUGAUGGGGUUAGCAUUAGCGAAGCUCUUGAUCGAAGCCCGAGUAAACGGCGGCCGUAACUAUAACGGUCCUAAGGUAGCGAAAUUCCUUGUCGGUUAAAUACCGACCUGCAUGAAUGGCGUAACGAGAUGGGAGCUGUCUCAAAGAGGGAUCCAGUGAAAUUGUAGUGGAGGUGAAAAUUCCUCCUACCCGCGGCAAGACGGAAAGACCCCGUGGACCUUUACUACAGCUUGACACUGCUAUUUGGAUAAGAAUGUGCAGGAUAGGUGGGAGGCUUUGAGUAUAUGACGCCAGUUGUAUAUGAGCCAUUGUUGAGAUACCACUCUUUCUUAUUUGGGUAGCUAACCAGCUUGAGUUAUCCUCAAGUGGGACAAUGUCUGGUGGGUAGUUUGACUGGGGCGGUCGCCUCCCAAAUAAUAACGGAGGCUUACAAAGGUUGGCUCAGAACGGUUGGAAAUCGUUCGUAGAGUAUAAAGGUAUAAGCCAGCUUAACUGCAAGACAUACAAGUCAAGCAGAGACGAAAGUCGGUCUUAGUGAUCCGGUGGUUCUGUGUGGAAGGGCCAUCGCUCAAAGGAUAAAAGGUACCCCGGGGAUAACAGGCUGAUCUCCCCCAAGAGCUCACAUCGACGGGGAGGUUUGGCACCUCGAUGUCGGCUCAUCGCAUCCUGGGGCUGGAGCAGGUCCCAAGGGUAUGGCUGUUCGCCAUUUAAAGCGGUACGCGAGCUGGGUUCAGAACGUCGUGAGACAGUUCGGUCCCUAUCUGCCGUGGGCGUAAGAAGAUUGAAGAGAUUUGACCCUAGUACGAGAGGACCGGGUUGAACAAACCACUGGUGUAGCUGUUGUUCUGCCAAGAGCAUC
This 1517-nucleotide ribosomal RNA is filed under the name Campylobacter lari. Its description in RNAcentral is "partial 23S ribosomal RNA". It matches the Rfam family "Bacterial large subunit ribosomal RNA", at positions 1244 to 2739 of the family's 2925-position model. The record is from RNAcentral. Lineage: Bacteria; Pseudomonadati; Campylobacterota; Epsilonproteobacteria; Campylobacterales; Campylobacteraceae.